UACGUAGGUGGCAAGCGUUGUCCGGAUUUACUGGGCGUAAAGGGAGCGUAGGCGGACUUUUAAGUGAGAUGUGAAAUACUCGGGCUCAACUUGAGUGCUGCAUUUCAAACUGGAAGUCUAGAGUGCAGGAGAGGAGAAUGGAAUUCCUAGUGUAGCGGUGAAAUGCGUAGAGAUUAGGAAGAACACCAGUGGCGAAGGCGAUUCUCUGGACUGUGACUGACGCUGAGGCUCGAAAGCGUGGGGAGCAAACAGG
This 253-nucleotide ribosomal RNA is filed under the name uncultured bacterium. Its description in RNAcentral is "partial 16S ribosomal RNA". It matches the Rfam family "Bacterial small subunit ribosomal RNA", at positions 524 to 776 of the family's 1533-position model. The record is from RNAcentral.